AUUGAACGCUGGCGGCAUGCCUUACACAUGCAAGUCGAACGGCAGCGGGGGAGAAGCUUGCUUUUCCUGCCGGCGAGUGGCGAACGGGUGAGUAAUACAUCGGAACGUGCCCUGUAGUGGGGGAUAACUAGUCGAAAGAUUAGCUAAUACCGCAUACGACCUGAGGGUGAAAGUGGGGGACCGCAAGGCCUCAUGCUCUCGGAGCGGCCGAUGUCUGAUUAGCUAGUUGGUGGGGUAAAGGCCUACCAAGGCGACGAUCAGUAGCUGGGCUGAGAGGACGAUCAGCCACACUGGGACUGAGACACGGCCCAGACUCCUACGGGAGGCAGCAGUGGGGAAUUUUGGACAAUGGGCGAAAGCCUGAUCCAGCAAUGCCGCGUGUGUGAAGAAGGCCUUCGGGUUGCAAAGCACUUUUGUCCGGAAAGAAAUGGCUCUGGUUAAUACCUGGGGUCGAUGACGGUACCGGAAGAAUAAGGACCGGCUAACUACGUGCCAGCCGCCGCGGUAA
RNAcentral lists this ribosomal RNA (508 nucleotides) under uncultured bacterium. Its description in RNAcentral is "partial 16S ribosomal RNA". It matches the Rfam family "Bacterial small subunit ribosomal RNA", at positions 30 to 523 of the family's 1533-position model. The record is from RNAcentral.